Molecule: ribosomal RNA, 1195 nt
Filed under: uncultured Bacillus sp.
Lineage: Bacteria; Bacillati; Bacillota; Bacilli; Caryophanales; Bacillaceae
Description: partial 16S ribosomal RNA
Rfam family: Bacterial small subunit ribosomal RNA
Source: RNAcentral
GUUUGAGCCUGGCCCAUGAGUACCACGUGGGUAACCUGCCUGUAAGACUGGGAUAACUCCGGGAAACCGGGGCUAAUACCGGAUGCUUGUUUGAACCGCAUGGUUCAAACAUAAAAGGUGGCUUCGGCUACCACUUACAGAUGGACCCGCGGCGCAUUAGCUAGUUGGUGAGGUAACGGCUCACCAAGGCAACGAUGCGUAGCCGACCUGAGAGGGUGAUCGGCCACACUGGGACUGAGACACGGCCCAGACUCCUACGGGAGGCAGCAGUAGGGAAUCUUCCGCAAUGGACGAAAGUCUGACGGAGCAACGCCGCGUGAGUGAUGAAGGUUUUCGGAUCGUAAAGCUCUGUUGUUAGGGAAGAACAAGUACCGUUCGAAUAGGGCGGUACCUUGACGGUACCUAACCAGAAAGCCACGGCUAACUACGUGCCAGCAGCCGCGGUAAUACGUANGNGUNGGCNAAGNCGUUGUCCGGAAUUAUUGGGCGUAAAGGGCUCNGCAGGCGGUUUCUUAAGUCUGAUGUGAAAGCCCCCGGNCUCAACCGGGGAGGGUCAUUGGAAACUGGGGAACUUGAGUGCAGAAGAGGAGAGUGGAAUUCCACGUGUAGCGGUGAAAUGCGUAGAGAUGUGGAGGAACACCAGUGGCGANAGGCNGNANCUNCNUNCUGNGUNCUGNUAACUGACGNCUGAGGAGCGAAAGCGUGGGGAGCGAACAGNGAUUAGAUACCCUGGUNAGUCCACGCCGUAAACGAUGAGUGCUAAGUGUUAGGGGGUUUCCGCCCCUUAGUGCUGCAGCUAACGCAUUAAGCACUCCGCCUGGGGAGUACGGUCGCAAGACUGAAACUCAAAGGAANUUGACNGGGGGNCCCGCNACAAGCNGGUGGAGCAUNGUNGGUUUAAUUNCGAAGCAACGCGAAGAANCCUUNACCAGGUCUUGACAUCCUCUGACAAUCCUAGAGAUAGGACGUCCCCUUCGGGGGCAGAGUGACAGGUGGUGCAUGGUUGUCGUCAGCUCGUGUCGUGAGAUGUUGGGUUAAGUCCCGCAACGAGCGCAACCCUUGAUCUUAGUUGCCAGCAUUCAGUUGGGCACUCUAAGGUGACUGCCGGUGACAAACCGGAGGAAGGUGGGGAUGACGUCAAAUCAUCAUGCCCCUUAUGACCUGGGCUACACACGUGCUACAAUGGACAGAACAA